AUUGAACGCUGGCGGCAGGCCUAACACAUGCAAGUCGAGCGGAGCGGCGGACGGGGGAGUAAUGCCUAGGAAUCUGCAUGGUAGUGGGGGAUAACGUCCGGACACGGGCGCUAAUACCGCAUACUAUCAGAUGAGCCUAGGUCGGAUUAGCUAGUUGGUGGGGUAAAGGCCUACCACGGCGACGAUCCGUAACUGGUCUGAGAGGAUGAUCAGUCACACUGGAAGUUAGACACAGUCCAGGCUCCUACGGGAGGCAGCCGAGGGGUAUGUUGGACAAUUGGGUAAAUCCUGAACCAGCCAUGCCGCGUGUGUGAAGAAGGUCGUCGGAGUGUAAAGCACUAUAAGUUGGGAGGCGUUACCAACAGAAUAAGCACCGGCUAACUGCGUGCCAGCAGCCGCGGUAAUAG
This 407-nucleotide ribosomal RNA is filed under the name uncultured bacterium. RNAcentral's name for it is "partial 16S ribosomal RNA". It matches the Rfam family "Bacterial small subunit ribosomal RNA", at positions 30 to 526 of the family's 1533-position model. The record is from RNAcentral.